GAUGAACGCUGGCGGCGUGCUUAACACAUGCAAGUCGAACGGAAAGGCCCUGCUUUUGUGGGGUGCUCGAGUGGCGAACGGGUGAGUAACACGUGAGUAACCUGCCCUUGACUUUGGGAUAACUUCAGGAAACUGGGGCUAAUACCGGAUAGGAGCUCCUGCUGCAUGGUGUGGGUUGGAAAGUUUCGGCGGUUGGGGAUAGACUCGCGGCUUAUCCGCUUGUUGGUGGGGUAGUGGCUUACCAAGGCUUUGAGGGGUAGCCGACCUGAGAGGGUGACCGGCGACAUGGGGACUGAGAUACGGCCCAGACGCCUACGGGAGGCAGCAGUGGGAAAUAUUGCGGAAUGGGCGGAAGCCUGAUGCAGCAGCGCUGCGUGCGGGAUGACGGCUUUCGGGUUGUGAACCGCUUUCGACUGUGACGAAGCGUGAGUGACGGUAAUGGGUAAAGAAGCACCGGCUAACUACGUG
RNAcentral lists this ribosomal RNA (468 nucleotides) under uncultured bacterium. Its description in RNAcentral is "partial 16S ribosomal RNA". It matches the Rfam family "Bacterial small subunit ribosomal RNA", at positions 28 to 507 of the family's 1533-position model. The record is from RNAcentral.